Molecule: transfer RNA, 63 nt
Filed under: unidentified
Description: Idiocerus herrichii tRNA-Pro
Source: RNAcentral
CAGUAAAUAGUUUAAUUAAAAAUUUAGGUUUUGGGAAUUUAAGAUGCUUUUUAGUUUUACUGA